CCCUGUAGCUCAGUUGGUGGAGCAUGGUGUUUGCAACGCCAGGGUUGUGGGUUCGAUUCCCACAGGGG
Molecule: non-coding RNA, 68 nt
Organism: Salmo salar (Atlantic salmon)
Lineage: Eukaryota; Metazoa; Chordata; Actinopteri; Salmoniformes; Salmonidae
Source: Rfam